Molecule: ribosomal RNA, 427 nt
Filed under: uncultured bacterium
Lineage: Bacteria
Description: partial 16S ribosomal RNA
Rfam family: Bacterial small subunit ribosomal RNA
Source: RNAcentral
UGGGGAAUAUUGCACAAUGGGCGCAAGCCUGAUGCAGCCAUGCCGCGUGUAUGAAGAAGGCCUUCGGGUUGUAAAGUACUUUCAGCGGGGAGGAAGGGAGUAAAGUUAAUACCUUUGCUCAUUGACGUUACCCGCAGAAGAAGCACCGGCUAACUCCGUGCCAGCAGCCGCGGUAAUACGGAGGGUGCAAGCGUUAAUCGGAAUUACUGGGCGUAAAGCGCACGCAGGCGGUUUGUUAAGUCAUAUGUGAAAUCCCCGGGCUCAACCUGGGAACUGCAUCUGAUACUGGCAAGCUUGAGUCUCGUAGAGGGGGGUAGAAUUCCAGGUGUAGCGGUGAAAUGCGUAGAGAUCUGGAGGAAUACCGGUGGCGAAGGCGGCCCCCUGGACGAAGACUGACGCUCAGGUGCGAAAGCGUGGGGAGCAAACA